UCUAGAACUCGAGAUAUGGGCUGAACACUGAACAGUGUCUGGGCUACAGGACAGAUUCCGACUUCUCCGUUUUUGCUACCAUUUGAACUCGAAAAUGACACUUUUAAAUCUUGGACUCUUAUGAAAGUUUUAAGCCUAUGUCUUAGCUUUCCAAA
Molecule: non-coding RNA, 155 nt
Organism: Populus trichocarpa (black cottonwood)
Lineage: Eukaryota; Viridiplantae; Streptophyta; Magnoliopsida; Malpighiales; Salicaceae
Source: Rfam